Xyrichtys novacula (pearly razorfish) is the source of this 3871-nucleotide non-coding RNA. NCBI's taxonomy places the organism in Eukaryota, Metazoa, Chordata, Actinopteri, Labriformes, Labridae. The record is from the annotation of a GenBank genome assembly.
AAAAAACAAAACGAAACAAAAAAUGUGAUAUCGGCCGUUCGCUGACCUGCUUCCUCAUCAUCUGCAUCUGAGACCUACUCACUCUGAGAGACAGGAAUUAACCAGUAAAAUGCGGUUAACAACAUAUUAAAGGAAAACUUAACAGACUUAACAGACGACAUAUUUCCAGCUAUUGAUUAUUGAUGAAAGGAAUCUGUACCUUUCUCUAAGUCUUCAUAUUGACAUUAAUUUAUAGUAAUUUUUUGUUUUAUUGACAUGAAUUCAAAAGUCUUAAAGUUUCUACAAACGAUGUGAAGAUGGUUUUCUGAUUUAAAGCCCAACAGUUCAAAGGUCGUGGAGAUUCCCGUAACUCGUCGUGUUGGUUGGCGGUCGGUCGGUACGGUGUUGAUGCUGCAGAGUUUAAAAGUUUAUAAAUGGUUAAUUCAUGACUGCCCUCCUUACAGAAACCGUCUUCAGGUUUAAUCACAAACACUUUUGUUCUUUACAUGAAGCAGUUAUGGUUACGAGGACGGAUGACGGCGUCCUGAUGUCUGAGGCUCGCCGAUAUUAAAGAGAUAAUUUCACGUGUGUGUGUGUGUGUGUGGGCCUCCUCCUGGGAGUCUCUCUGCACGCUCGUUCGCUCGCCCCUCUCUCUCUUUCUUUUGCUUUACAUACUGUACUUAACCAGCACUCUCUCUUUGCUUUAGUGGCUGCCACUUCCAAUCUCUCCUCUCCUCCCAUCCCUUCCCCCUUUUAACUCAUUCUGAAUUAUCCAUAGCCGCAUCGCUCCCUCACUUUUCCCCUCGCCAUCCCCCUCUUUCCUGUUCGCUCUCUCUCUCUCGCUCUGUCUCUCGUCCCCGUCUCUCUCCUCUCCUCUCAAUUUGCUUUAUGGCAGCCUUUCACUUUCUGCAUCCUCUCCUCUCAUCCCCCCAUCCUGCUCUCCCUCUCUCUCUCUCUGUUUCUCUAUGUCUCUCUCUUAGUGUAACUGUAGGAUAUAGGUCAGCAGGGCGGCUUGGCUGACUCGUGUCUAGACUCAGCCUCAGUCUUGGGGGCAUGCAGUCACACAGAGCAGCACAUUGACCAGCACAAUCACCGCAGCACACUGGAGCUCCAUUGACUGCCUGCCUGUGUGAGUGUGUGUGUGUCUGUGUGUGUGUGUUUCUGCUGUUUCACAAAAAGACACACACACUCAGAGGAAAAAAGCUGAGGGCAAAGUUCCUGUAAGGAGGCUCGGCGGCACGGCGGGCAUCACCGCAAACAUUAACGCCGUCAGUGAAGACAAACAGAGAGGUAGAAAUGUCAGCGUAAAUGCCACGAGUUUGGAGAUGAUAUUUACAGCAGGACCGGCGAACAGGACCGCGGGCCGGACCUUUAAAUCGAUCGGAGAUCUCCGAGUUUCAGAGCCGAUGAUGAAGGAGGAGCUUUAAUGAAAGAGAGUUAAUGUGACUUUCAAUCAAGUUUCCUUUGUGCGGCGAGAUAAACGUGAGAGAGAUGAGCUGAACAUUCGAUUGGACACAGUCUGUGUGUGUGUGUGUGUGUGUGUGUGUGUGUGUAAUCUGCAGUGUUACUGUGACUGUGGAGUGUGUGCAGAGGGGGGAGUCGGCGGCAGCUGGAUGGCGAUGGCUGCUGCUGCAGGGUGCAACACGCUGUGGGGAAGGGUAGAUGGGGUGACAGUGUGUGUGUGUGUGUGUGUGUGUGUGUGUGUGUGUGUGUGUGUGUGUGUGUGUGUGUGUGUGUGUGUGUGUGUGAGGGCCAUGAUUCAUUCAGAUGAGUCUGUGCUGCACCCUCCCCACCCUCGCUCUUCCUCUCGCUCGCUCGGUCUGUGGUCCAGAUGUGAUCCCCCCCUUUCUCCCUGGAUACUGAUUCAGACCCUCCACCCAGCCCCUCAGUCCAAUGAGGGUCUGGGUUCAGGAGGGGAGAUGAUGCUGCUGUGGGGGGGCUGGGGGGGGGGCACAUUAGCUGCAUUAGUCAGAUGAGCCUCAAAUCAUCAGGAGAUCGUGAAUAUUUCAGAGCGAGCAGCGACCUGCGUUUAGUCGACAUGGUGUUUUACAGAGUACUUCCUAAAUCCGGGUUAUCCUGGUCCAGCAGACUGUGGACCUCAGCGUAGACCGUCUUUAUGUACUCAAGACCGUUCACCAACAUGUUUGGAGUCAGGGUCAAAGUUCAGCAAACUUGGUAGGAAUGGAAAACUUGUUCUUUUAAAUCAAGGAGCUGAAAAAAAGACUUUUUCCAUGAUUGACUCCCUCUCUCUCUCUCUCUCUCUCUCUCUCUCACUCAGACGAUGGUCUAACAUCAGUCCAGUUCCGCUCGAGGUUUCUGCAAACCCACCGUAACACCGAGUUAGACCCCCCCUCCAGAGAUGAAUGUUGUCGACCGCUUGCUUCUCUAGUUAUACCAACUUUAGUAACGACCGCAGGAUAGAAAUACAGAGAGCCACGCCCCCAACCAAAACGCCACUCUAUAGCCACAAAUAAUGCUCAGAACAGCACCUAACUUCAUCAACAGGACAUAUAGGGUCACAGCCAUAGUACUAUAUUCAGAGUUGUUCUAACUCCUAAGAAAACAAACUUAAGCGGGGGCGUUUCUCCACUUCUGUAGUCUAUAAGCUGGGCUAAUAAACUUCUACUGUAGUAAAAUGAAAAGGUAAAGGUGUUUUUAUUGAGCCGAAUUAUCAAUAAAAUCAUGAUUUUGUUAACAGGUAUGGAUUUAUGUGCUGUCGAGUUAAUAUAUUUGAACAAGAGCACAGUAAAGUUAAAUCAGCUAAUUUUCCAAUGAGGUUCUGUUACUGAACGGAACUACACCAUGAUCUACUGAGGUUAGUACAUAUAGGGUCACAGACAUAGUACUAGACACCAAACAUCUUUCUAACUUUGACUCAUUUCUUUAGCAAAGAGACUAAACACAACUCACCUACUCUCUUCCAGCAGACGCUUGUUUGUAGAGAGACCUCAGGCCAGUCCAUUACGGACUACAGCGGGGUGCCGCAGCUCAAGGAAGAACAUUUAUGAUCAUUUCUUUAUCAUUUCCUUGAAGUAAUAAUCACCAUAUUAAUCAUUUUACAGACGCAGUAGUUCUUCUGUCUUAGCGUCUCGGUCUGAUUUUAUUUCCAUGAAGAAAUGAUCAUAAAUGUUCUUCCUCUCGACUUUAACCCUUUAAAUGCUGUGACGUGUUUGACUCCUGUGCUUGAUGAUGGGAUAAGUACGCUGGUGUUUUGCAGCUUCUCUGGAUCAUCUUCAGCUUUUUGAGUUUGAAUACAGAGAGGAGUAAAUAAGGAGGCGCAGCAUCAGAAUGAAUAAUGACUCCUCUCCUCUCCUCUACUCUGCUCCUUCUCUGUGCGAUUACGUCUUUCUUGUUAGUUGUUAGAAAUCUGUGUUUUUCAUGUAUUUUAUUAGAGUCCAGGAAUGACCACAGCAGCAUGACCUGCAGGUCUGGGUUUGGACUCCACAAACCCAGAUUGAUGCGGGUUAAAGCAGAAAGUCUCUCAUGUCGUUAAAUUCUCACCUCUGUCCUUUUUUUGUGAUCGUUGUAAAGUUUUAAACGAUUGUUCUCAGUCUGCCUGGUAACAGGAGCAGCUCCUGUCCUCCACACUGAAAUAUUGAUAGAUGAAUGGUAUCAGUGUGUGUGUGUGUGUGUGUGUGUGUGUGUUUCUCAGAGUGUUAUCCUGAUGUAGAGUGAGAGAAAGUGAGUCUUCUCUGGCUUUCAGAGGACCUGAACCUGCUCUGUGAUGUAGCUUCAUGUUACCGUCCUCCCAGCCCAUAAAUAAUGUCCCGUCCACCUCCCUCUGACUCCUCCUCUGGCUCCUCCUCUGGCUCCUCCUCUGACUCCUCCUCUCGCCCCUUCUCUGUCCUUUAGUUUCUUAUUUUUGUUUACUCCAGGUCUGAUAGAAAACAUA